AUAAAGAACUAUUUAUUGUUUGUAAUAUAUCAAUUUUGUGUUACAAGGUAUGUUUUAACAAAGAUAUAUGUAAUACGUAAAAAGCUAAAGCAAUAUAAAUUAUUGAUUUUCUUUGAUUUUUCUGUAAGAAAAAGCUUAUUUGAUUUUAAGCUAAUUAGUGUACUUAUAUAAGUUUACUAUUGAUUGAAUUGUUUUUACAAAUUACUCGAGUUUUAAUAUUCAUAAAUUAUAGAUGUACAUACGUUAUAUUAUUAAUAAAAGUGAAAGAAUAGGAGGCACUUUUAUGAACAUAAAAAAAAUAUUUUGCUACCUAGGAUACGAUGUAAUCAUUGCCUCGCGAGUGAUUAAAUCUCUUAAAAGUGAUAAGAAAGCUUGACAUUAUGCGUACCAAUAGCAGUCUUGUUUUUUUUAAUAAUAGAUCACCCUGUAUCGCGUGGUUAUCAAUGAUUUAAAAAUAAUUUGUGUUUUCCACGUUAGAAUAAAAUCUAUGGAGAUUAUAUUAAAAGGCACGACUUAUUAAAAGUUUGUAAAUAAGAUAAUAUUUCCGAUAAAAGAGCAUCUUUAAAAUUUCUGACGGCUUAUUUUUUAGCCGUUAAUUCGAUAGUUUUUAGUCUAAGAGUUUUUGUCGUUCAUUUAUUCAGAACCAUUCUUAGGCAUUAGCAAAAACUGAUCGUUUGUUUACUAAAAACUUUAUGAUUAUAUUCGAAGCUUUUGUAGAAUAUAAUAUAUAUAUUAUAUACUAUCUUGUAUGUUGUAUUAAAGCACUUCAUAGGAGUAUUUUCUUAUAUAUAUAAUAACCAUGUUGUUUGAUAAUUGCAUUUGAUGUAACGCGAUAUUUUUUUUGUAUUUGUUCCACUUUCUUAAACCAAGCGAAAUUUUAAUGACUUAGAAAUAUGAGAAAUAUGAUAAAUUCAUUCUUGCCUUCAAUAUCAGUUUGCAUAAGCACACAUUCUUAAGGCCAGGAGUUUGAAAAGGGCAGAAGGGUUAUUUGGAGGAAUUAUUUUCUCAAACGAUAAAGAAAAGGAACAAAAUAAUGAAACAAGAAAGGAGGAACGACAAUGGAAGUCUAUCUGCAAAAAUAUGAUUUUUAAUUCACUCAACAAAAUGAUAUCAAAACAUCAGAAACGCGAUUAGAAGUAAUAUUACGAAAUCUUGUUGAAAGAAAAUACAUAACAUAAUAUCGUAACAAAAAAUAAAAACAGAAUCAAUUUACUACAAUCCGCUCCAGAAUCGUAGACCAUGUACUUCUCCAUUUCGUCAACAGUUAAACAGUCCCUCUAAACGAAAGCUCACAAAGGCUUAUCGCUUUGACUAAGAAUAUAAAUUAUGAUUAUAGUGGCCAUUGGCAAUACCCCUUACACUGUACAAUCUAACAUAAAACUACAACGACGGGCAAUAUCAUCGACAAAUGUCGAUAUAUAGCCUGGGUUCUAAUUAGUACUCAAAUUAAAUGCGUUUUUCGCAAAAAAAAUAAUAAUUAAAUUAUUAAUUCCUCCUGCCGCUAGAAUACCACAAUAAUCUAAUCUCAUCGAAUAGUUUACGAUUAAGCGUAAUAUUUCGCCGAUAGAUUACUUUAGCGGCGUAUUGUAUUUUUGUGGUUUUUUUUUUUUAAUAUUAUAAGCUUAGUCCUCCUCUCUUUCUUUUCUAUUUUUUUAAA
Long non-coding RNA from Apis mellifera (honey bee), 1657 nucleotides. RefSeq lists it as uncharacterized. The transcript has 2 exons. Lineage: Eukaryota; Metazoa; Arthropoda; Insecta; Hymenoptera; Apidae. The record is from RefSeq and is a predicted model, not a curated record.